This 21-nucleotide non-coding RNA is filed under the name Arabidopsis thaliana (thale cress). Lineage: Eukaryota; Viridiplantae; Streptophyta; Magnoliopsida; Brassicales; Brassicaceae. The record is from RNAcentral.
CACAAGUUUCAGAGUGUUGAA